AAAGUGAUCAUUAGUUUCAGAGGCUGCUUGUUGGAUAUAUCCUGCGAAGAAAAACAAACUGAGACUAAUUUGCAAAAUUGCAGCAAUCAAACUAAAAAUCUAAAUGCCAGCAAUCUAGGGAAGACAACUUAGUCUCUGUUUGGGAAUUAGCGGUUAGCUGUUAGCGGAGUAAAUUAGAUGUCUUGACUAGCUGAUUGAAAUAGAUAUUUUGACUAGCGGAUUGAAUUAGCGGUUUCUUGUAAAACUGUUUGGUAAAUAGCUGUUUGAUUAGCUUUUUAUGACACAUACCAAAACCUCUAACCUAAAAAGCUCCUCAAAGAAUAGCUGUUUGAUUAGCUUUUUAUGACACAUACCAAAACCUCUAACCUAAAAAGCUCCUCAAAGUAGCUUUUUGAAAAUUAGCU
This 404-nucleotide long non-coding RNA is filed under the name Daucus carota (carrot). Its description in RNAcentral is "long non-coding RNA (DCAR_LNC000471)". The record is from RNAcentral. Lineage: Eukaryota; Viridiplantae; Streptophyta; Magnoliopsida; Apiales; Apiaceae.